Silurus meridionalis is the source of this 1412-nucleotide long non-coding RNA. RefSeq lists it as uncharacterized. The record is from RefSeq and is a predicted model, not a curated record. NCBI's taxonomy places the organism in Eukaryota, Metazoa, Chordata, Actinopteri, Siluriformes, Siluridae. The transcript has 6 exons.
CUUGCAUCUGUUUUUACAGAUUAUAUAACACGGAGUGUAAUCAGGUUUUGUCCAUCAAAAUGAAGUUGCUUCUAGCUUUCUACUUCUAUUCCUGUCUUUUCUCCUCAGUAACCUUGCUGAAUUGUUUCAAGUGCACUAGUGAUUCAGGAAGGUGUAGCACGACAUUUUCACAACAGUGUCCACCUGGAAACUUAUGUGCUGCUCUGAUAUACAAUUACUCUGUGCCAGGGUUUUCUGUGAAUAGGAAUGGAGAGAUUCGAGGCUGUUUUCCACAGGCUGUAUGUAAACAAGUGAAUCCAGGGGGUUUAAAAACAAGUUACUCGGCUAACAUUGGAGUGGCGAAAGGUUUUCUAUCCGUCUCUUGCUGCCAGUCGGAUUAUUGUAACCUCAUCAUUAUCUCUGACAAAAAACCAAAUGGACUUCAAUGUUUAAGCUGCAGGAAGUUAACAGACACAGUAUGCAGAUCUUCCAUUUCUUGUGUGGGAAAUCAAGAUCAUUGUAUGACUGGAACAGUUUUAAGCCUGGCAAACUUAACAAUCAAGGGAUGUGCUUCUAAAAGUUUCUGCACUACAAAUUUUCAAAAUUCCACAUUGGGAGAUGUCCAAUGUUGCAAAGGAAACUUGUGUAAUAAGAGUAAAACUUGGAAUAGGCCGGAUGUUGGCCUGUUACUGAUGAUCCUAAUCUUUACAAAAAUACUCCAGUAAGAAUUUAAUCAGCUGCUCUUUCCCUCAAAUUGCACAAUUUUGCUCUACCUAUAUAAAUAUCAUGGUAUGUGUUAAAGUAUUUUUGUCAUUUAAUAUUUUCAUAUUGUAUUUUUAUUAGGUUUUGUUGAUGAUUUUAAUGUAGAUGAGUGUGAGUGUGAAGUGCUGAUUUAUUGCUUGGCUUAUAGGCUGUGUAAAUUGUUCAAAUUCGUUUGUAUGCAUUCUGAAGAUGCAAGGUCUAAAACAUUGUUCAGUAUUUGCACCAAAAUUUCUGUCCAGUGAUAAUAAAAGCACUAAAACAAACCAGGACUCAUUUCUAUUCCUGAGAUUUUAGUUAUUGAUAGUAAAUAGUAGAAUUAGAUAUAGCAAUAGAACAGUGUAUACACACAUGUAGGAACGCAGCAGCAAUGCAGCAGCCCGUGGCACUUCUUCCUAAAUUGAUUUAUAUUCUUGAGAUAUGGCUGAUGUACUGUAAUCUCUGGCAAUGUAUGGUAAUACAAUUACCAGCAUCGACAGUUUAGCAAUACAGAAUUAAAUGUUAUAUUAUGUUAUAUUGCUGGAAUAUGACCACAUAUGGCUGGGAAAUUAUAUUAUAUUAUUGAUUUGUUUAUAGUAGUUACUUCACUUUUGACACAAGGAACAAACAUACAAGCCUUUUUUUUUUUUCUAAUUUGGCCUUUUUAUGCAUACAUGGUCAUAAAAUGACCAGUG